GAUGAACGCUGGCGGCGUGCCUAAUACAUGCGAGUCGAGCGAACGGACGAGAAGCUUGCUUCUCUGAUGUUAGCGGCGGACGGGUGAGUAACACGUGGAUAACCUACCUAUAAGACUGGGAUAACUUCGGGAAACCGGAGCUAAUACCGGAUAAUAUUUUGAACCGCAUGGUUCAAAAGUGAAAGACGGUCUUGCUGUCACUUAUAGAUGGAUCCGCGCUGCAUUAGCUAGUUGGUAAGGUAACGGCUUACCAAGGCAACGAUGCAUAGCCGACCUGAGAGGGUGAUCGGCCACACUGGAACUGAGACACGGUCCAGACUCCUACGGGAGGCAGCAGUAGGGAAUCUUCCGCAAUGGGCGAAAGCCUGACGGAGCAACGCCGCGUGAGUGAUGAAGGUCUUCGGUUCGUAAAACUCUGUUAUUAGGGAAGAACAUAUGUGUAAGUAACUGUGCACAUCUUGACGGUACCUAAUCAGAAAGCCACGGCUAACUACGUG
Molecule: ribosomal RNA, 497 nt
Filed under: uncultured bacterium
Lineage: Bacteria
Description: partial 16S ribosomal RNA
Rfam family: Bacterial small subunit ribosomal RNA
Source: RNAcentral